Molecule: ribosomal RNA, 505 nt
Filed under: Bacillus subtilis
Lineage: Bacteria; Bacillati; Bacillota; Bacilli; Caryophanales; Bacillaceae
Description: bacterial SSU rRNA
Rfam family: Bacterial small subunit ribosomal RNA
Source: RNAcentral
UGACGGAGCACGCCGCGUGAGUGAUGAAGGUUUUCGGAUCGUAAAGCUCUGUUGUUAGGGAAGAACAAGUACCGUUCGAAUAGGGCGGUACCUUGACGGUACCUAACCAGAAAGCCACGGCUAACUACGUGCCAGCAGCCGCGGUAAUACGUAGGUGGCAAGCGUUGUCCGGAAUUAUUGGGCGUAAAGGGCUCGCAGGCGGUUUCUUAAGUCUGAUGUGAAAGCCCCCGGCUCAACCGGGGAGGGUCAUUGGAAACUGGGGAACUUGAGUGCAGAAGAGGAGAGUGGAAUUCCACGUGUAGCGGUGAAAUGCGUAGAGAUGUGGAGGAACACCAGUGGCGAAGGCGACUCUCUGGUCUGUAACUGACGCUGAGGAGCGAAAGCGUGGGGAGCGAACAGGAUUAGAUACCCUGGUAGUCCACGCCGUAAACGAUGAGUGCUAAGUGUUAGGGGGUUUCCGCCCCUUAGUGCUGCAGCUAACGCAUUAAGCACUCCGCUGGGGAGA